GACGAACGCUGGCGGCGUGCUUAACACAUGCAAGUCGAGCGGUAAGGCCCUUUCGGGGGUACGACGAGCGGCGAACGGGUGGAGUAACACGUGGGUGACCUGCCCUCCAGCUCUGGGAGUAAGCCUGGGAAACCGGGGUACUAAUACCGGAUAUGACUCCAUGACGCAUGUUGUGGGGUGGAAAGCCUUGUGCGGCUGAGGAUGGGCCCGCGGCCUAUCAGCUUGUUGGUGGGGUGAUGGCCUACCAAGGCGACGAC
RNAcentral lists this ribosomal RNA (257 nucleotides) under uncultured bacterium. Its description in RNAcentral is "partial 16S ribosomal RNA". It matches the Rfam family "Bacterial small subunit ribosomal RNA", at positions 28 to 280 of the family's 1533-position model. The record is from RNAcentral.